GUAACGCGUGGGAACGUGCCCUUUGCUACGGAAUAGUCCCGGGAAACUGGGUUUAAUACCGUAUGUGCCCUUCGGGGGAAAGAUUUAUCGGCAAAGGAUCGGCCCGCGUUGGAUUAGGUAGUUGGUGGGGUAAUGGCCUACCAAGCCGACGAUCCAUAGCUGGUUUGAGAGGAUGAUCAGCCACACUGGGACUGAGACACGGCCCACACUCCUACGGGAGGCAGCAGUGGGGAAUCUUAGACAAUGGGGGCAACCCUGAUCUAGCCGUGCCGCGUGAGUGAUGAAGGCCUUAGGGUUGUAAAGCUCUUUCAGCUGGGAAGAUAAUGACGGUACCAGCAGAAGAAGCCCCGGCUAACUCCGUGCCAGCAGCCGCGGUAAUACGGAGGGGGCUAGCGUUGUUCGGAAUUACUGGGCGUAAAGCGCACGUAGGCGGACUGGAAAGUUGGGGGUGAAAUCCCGGGGCUCAACCUCGGAACUGCCUUCAAACUAUCAGUCUGGAGUUCGAGAGAGGUGAGUGGAAUACCGAGUGUAGAGGUGAAAUU
Molecule: ribosomal RNA, 542 nt
Filed under: uncultured bacterium
Lineage: Bacteria
Description: bacterial SSU rRNA
Rfam family: Bacterial small subunit ribosomal RNA
Source: RNAcentral